GAGGACAUAAGUUUAUUUUGAAUAUAAUUUUGGAGGCAGAUUUUGUCACAUACUGCAAAUUUGCAGACAGUCUUUUAAAAAAAAAAAAAAAAAAAAAAAAGCCUUUUUCCAUAGGAUAAUGCCUGUUUCUGUCAAAGUUUUGCAGGUAAAGAAAAAUUGAGAGCAAGAGAAAGGAGGGGGUACCCAUUCUGCUACCACUGCAACUGAAUAAUACAUGUCCAUUUGACAAGCAACGCUCACAGAUCAUCUUACAGAACAGAAUAUGAUUAAGAUAGGAAUAUUACUUGUAAGGAAGACAGAUCACACCUUCAUUCAGAAAAGAAAGAACUUGGAUAAAUAGAAGACUCCAGUCAUUUUUUAUCUCUUUCAAAUGAUA
Molecule: long non-coding RNA, 376 nt
Filed under: Coturnix japonica (Japanese quail)
Lineage: Eukaryota; Metazoa; Chordata; Aves; Galliformes; Phasianidae
Description: lncRNA (ENSCJPG00005016459.1)
Source: RNAcentral